This 503-nucleotide ribosomal RNA is filed under the name uncultured bacterium. RNAcentral's name for it is "partial 16S ribosomal RNA". It matches the Rfam family "Bacterial small subunit ribosomal RNA", at positions 29 to 507 of the family's 1533-position model. The record is from RNAcentral.
AACGAACGCUGGCGGCGUGCCUAACACAUGCAAGUCGAACGAGAAAGGGGCUUCGGCUCCGAGUAAAGUGGCGCACGGGUGAGUAACACGUGGGUAACCUGCCUCUAAGAUUGGGAUAACUCGUCGAAAGAUGAGCUAAUACCGAAUAAGACCACAGUUCCCGCGGGAACAGGGGUCAAAGGUAGCCUCUGCUUGCAAGCUAUCACUUAGAGAUGGGCCUGCGCACCAUUAGCUAGUUGGUAGGGGAACGGCCUACCAAGGCAAAGAUGGUUAGCUGGUCUGAGAGGAUGAUCAGCCACACUGGAACUGAGACACGGUCCAGACUCCUACGGGAGGCAGCAGUGGGGAAUAUUGCGCAAUGGGCGAAAGCUUGACGCAGCAACGCCGCGUGAGUGAUGAAGGCCUUCGGGUCGUAAAGCUCUGUCGGGAGGAACGAAUGCUCCUGAGGUUAACAGCCUCGGGAGGUGACGGUACCUUCAAAGGAAGCACCGGCUAACUCUGUG